GCAUCUGAAUGCUGUAUUCCUUCAUUACUGGUAUUUUGCAGCAGGACUCAGGGUAAAGGGCCUGUCAUUCACCAACGUUGUCAUCAUGUCCAUCAAAAUACGCAAACAUCCAGAUGGCUGCUUGCCUCCUGCUUGCCAUGCUCUGGAAUAUUUUCUGCUGUUUCAAAGCACCCUGUGAAGGAGAACAUCAGGACCGUGUUUUAGCCCAGCUGCACCCAAAGAACCUCCCACCUUCAUGGGCCAAACAAGAUUCUGCUGCCCCUGAGUUUGGCUCGGCCCUUUACAGCAGGUUUGCCAGAGGUGUCUGCUUGCUGCAUAACCGCUUCAAAGGGAGGCUGGACAACUGCUUGAAGGAGGAUGCUCAACACAUUUGUUCCUGGCCCUUGUACUGGCUUUUAUGUGUGCCUUUCACCCUCUCAACCAAUCAUCACUGUGACCUCAAAUCUUGCCUAGGACAUGCUGUGAAAGUCCACAGAGCCAUCUGAACUCGUUCAUGCAGCAGCACAGUGCUGAGAGGGCCGUGGCUGACAAACAAGAAGCACUUCUCCCCUCAGGUGGCCUGCUCUUCCUUGUCAAUCACACUGUGGGGAAAAGUAGCUGAAAACCAGCUGUCCUGCCAAAAAGGACAGAAGAGUUUCUUGUGGGCAAUGAGAGUUAUUUAUUUAUUUAUUUUACUUAUUUACCACACUCUAGUAAGAAGUUUGAUUUUCCUAAAUCUUACAAAUCACCUGCCAAGGACACGGAGCAUCUGGCUUUCUUCAGCAAAUAAAUUGCUUGCCGUGUGUCUGCUGUCCAAAAAGACAUGCUGCCCCCAAGUUACAGUCCUGAAAUGGAUUCUGUCAACAUGUUUUAUCAACUAAUAAUAAUGAAAAACUCCUGUGUUUUUCUUGCAGCUAUUUAUAAAAUGUCUCCAGAAGCCAGACUGUGAAUAAACCUCCUUAUCCAACUUUUGUUUCUACCCAUGCAAAUGCUCUUGGGUUUGUUAUUGGAGGGCUGUUCACAAACAGCUGGGCUGCUUUUUCAAGCAGCCUUUAUUUAAAGGGUUUUGUUCUGAGUACAAAGGCCCAGAUUCAGAGAUCAUUCAUGGACUUAAAGUCAAGCAUAUUCUUGAUUACUUUGCUGCACUGAGGCCUAAAGCAUUUGCAUUGAAGCAAAAUACACACAAGCAGCUUUCCAAACAAGCACACACAAGCAGUCUGUGACACGCUGGAUGCUGGUAGGCCUGGUGCUGUGGUAGCUGAAGAGUGGAUGUAAAUUCCCCUCACCCUGUUAAGCUGGUAAGUGAGUCAAAGUAGCUAAAUAAAUUGGGACAACGACUGUGUAUGCACAGCUUUGACUUGGAAGGCGGCUGUGGCAAAAUGUGGAGGGAAUCCCAUCCUCAGAGAUUUUCCAAAGGAGCUGGCUGCACAGCUCACAUUCAGGCAAAGAGCACCGGGAAGGAAUUUUAGCCUUGUGUGGUUUUCAGCCAUGCAUGCUGCUCCUGGUGCUAAAAAGCCAGGAGCAAACCACCACAAUCAUUGUGCUCAUCACCACCUGCCCUCUCACCCAGCAGCGCUGCAUUGGACUCAUUGGUAAGAGCUCACUCACUCACAAGUGAAGAUCCCCAUUGCAUUUAUCAGGACCAUUGCAGGGAACUCCUCAUGGGUUUGCUGUGAGCUAACUGGGUGUACUGGAGUAUAGCAAGAACUGUUGCUAAUUCUCAUUAAAGACGAGGAUCUGACUCAACCCACACUGAAAUCAAGGCAAAGACUCCCACAGAUUUAAGAAGGUACUAGAUCAAAGUCUCAGACUUGUAAAAUCUUCAGGUCAGGGACAACAGCUUUGUCACAAUCUAUAGUGUGCAGUUAAUUUGCUCUCUAAAUAAUAAGAAUUUGGAGGUAAUUUGAUGGGCGCUUGGGAAAAAGCUUCCAAAACCUUCCAAAGAGCCUUGUUAUCCCAGCAUACUAACGUAUCCUAUCAGAGCUGUGUUAAUCUUUUAAAAUAUCUUUGUACAAAGACUGUAAAAUCCUAGUUGGUUACGUGGGUUGCAAUUUUUCUGUAAAAGCUAUUCAUAUCAGAUCAAUAGCUCAACUUGGAAAAAAUAGUAAAAUAAAAAGCCCAUCCAUCUGUUAUUUAUUCCUUUGCACAUAAUCAAUUGUUUGCUGCUAAUCUCCACUGUACAAAAUCUUUGAAAUCUUUUACGCACCUCUUUGCAUGCUUUUCCUCCAACAUGAGAUGCAACUCAAAAAGUUACCUUCAAGUUCAGAAGUCAGCUAUGGAUAGUCAAGCUAUCCAUCUCUUCCAGGGCUUUGCAGAGGAAAGCAAAUAAAUGCAGGAAUGAAGGACAAUGGAAUCUCUAAAAUACAUGACAUUUCCUUUGACUUACCAAUGGAUAGUGCAGUUCACACUUGAGCAGGAUUGUAAAAGCUUUUGACAGUUAAAUUAUGUGAUAGAUGAGUAAUGUGAUGAUUGACUAUCACAAUUA
This is a non-coding RNA of Zonotrichia albicollis (white-throated sparrow), 2464 nucleotides long. The record is from RefSeq and is a predicted model, not a curated record. Lineage: Eukaryota; Metazoa; Chordata; Aves; Passeriformes; Passerellidae.